This 465-nucleotide ribosomal RNA is filed under the name Vreelandella stevensii. Its description in RNAcentral is "partial 16S ribosomal RNA". It matches the Rfam family "Bacterial small subunit ribosomal RNA", at positions 338 to 795 of the family's 1533-position model. Lineage: Bacteria; Pseudomonadati; Pseudomonadota; Gammaproteobacteria; Oceanospirillales; Halomonadaceae. The record is from RNAcentral.
CCUACGGGUGGCAGCAGUGGGGAAUAUUGGACAAUGGGGGCAACCCUGAUCCAGCCAUGCCGCGUGUGUGAAGAAGGCCCUCGGGUUGUAAAGCACUUUCAGUGAGGAAGAACGCCUGGUGGUUAAUACCCAUCAGGAAAGACAUCACUCACAGAAGAAGCACCGGCUAACUCCGUGCCAGCAGCCGCGGUAAUACGGAGGGUGCGAGCGUUAAUCGGAAUUACUGGGCGUAAAGCGCGCGUAGGUGGCUUGAUAAGCCGGUUGUGAAAGCCCCGGGCUCAACCUGGGAACGGCAUCCGGAACUGUCAAGCUAGAGUGCAGGAGAGGAAGGUUGAAUUCCCGGUGUAGCGGUGAAAUGCGUAGAGAUCGGGAGGAAUACCAGUGGCGAAGGCGGCCUUCUGGACUGACACUGACACUGAGGUGCGAAAGCGUGGGUAGCAAACAGGAUUAGAUACCCGAGUAGUC